UGGGGUUGCGGCUUAUUGGUAGAGCACUUGUCUAGCAUGCGUGAGGUACUGGGUUCAAUCCCCAGCACCACAA
This 73-nucleotide transfer RNA is filed under the name Marmota monax (woodchuck). RNAcentral's name for it is "tRNA.Ala". The record is from RNAcentral. Lineage: Eukaryota; Metazoa; Chordata; Mammalia; Rodentia; Sciuridae.